ACGGCUCAGUAACACGUGGAUAACAUGCCCUAAGGUGGGGGAUAAUCUCGGGAAACUGAGGAUAAUACCCCAUAGAUCUAGGAUGCUGGAAUGCUUCUAGGUCCAAAACUCCGGUGCCUUAGGAUUGGUCUGCGGUCUAUCAGGCAGUAGUGGGUGUAAUGGACCCACUAGCCCGUGACGGAUAUGGGCCUUGAGAGAGGGUGCCCAGAGAUGGACUCUGAGACAUGAGUCCAGGCCCUACGGGGCGCAGCAGUCGCGAAAACUUCGCAAUGGGGGAAACCCCGACGAGGGAAUUCCAAGUGCUAGCACUUUGUGUUAGCUGUUCUUCUGUCUAAAAAACAGGAGAAGUAAGGGGCGGGUAAGACGGGUGCCAGCCGCCGCGGUAAUACCCGCGCCCCGAGUGGUGGUCGAUAUUAUUGAGCCUAAAACGUCCGUAGCCGGUCUUCUAAAUCCUUGGGUAAAUCGGGCAGCUUAACUGUCCGAAUUCCGGGGAGACUGGGAGACUUGGGACCGGGAGAGGUCAGAGGUACUUCUGGGGUAGGGGUAAAAUCCUGUAAUCCUGGAAGGACCACCGGUGGCGAAGGCGUCUGACUAGAACGGAUCCGACGGUGAGGGACGAAGCCCUGGGGCGCAAACGGGAUUAGAUACCCCGGUAGUCCAGGGUGUAAACGCUGCGGGCUUGGUGUUGGGGGUCCUUAGUGGGCGCCCAGUGCCGGAGAGAAGUUGUUAAGCCUGCUGCUUGGGGAGUAUGUCCGCAAGGAUGAAACUUAAAGGAAUUGGCGGGGGAGCAC
RNAcentral lists this ribosomal RNA (791 nucleotides) under uncultured archaeon. Its description in RNAcentral is "bacterial SSU rRNA". It matches the Rfam family "Archaeal small subunit ribosomal RNA", at positions 85 to 879 of the family's 1478-position model. The record is from RNAcentral.